GCGUGGGGUUCUCACGGUGAAACCCUAGCCACCAAUCGCUCGCGUCUUUGACCCACCAAUCGCUCCCUUCUCGAGCUCCGCUUCCCGUUCCCCAAUUCUCUCCGCCGCCACUGCGCCGCCUCGUCCUCCCCUGACCUCGGAGCCCCAGCGUAUGGUCGUCGUCGCCGCUUGUGUAGUUCUUCCCGAUGCCUCCCCAUCCUCCAUCAGCCACCGCUGUGGGCUGUGGUUCUGGGCCGGUCACAGGUCGCUGCUGAGGAGCAGAGGAGGACGGCGGGGAGGGAGAAGGAGCACAGGAGGACGGCACUGGGGGAAGGAGAAGCGAACCCGGAGGCCGAGACGGCGCUCGCGUCAUGUGCCGGACGCUGCUCGUCGGCCCUCGUUGUCGUCCUCAAUCUAGCAUGAUGUGUGAAGAUCUGAGACAAAAAAGAAGAGGAAGAAUUUUGACGAAGAGUUGGGUCAUGGGGAACAAAGGUCAUCAGAACAUACAUAACUGUUGCCGAAGCCCUCUUGCUAAAGAGGAAAGCACAAGAAGAUAUGAUCGAAUUAAAUGGGUAGUGCAUUUAUCUUGUUGGUUAGUUCCCUCAUCGGCCUACUUACUGUUACCUGCGAGUUUCAGGUAUAAUACUCCCCCCCUUAGCAAAGGGUGAAUUCUCUGGUUUUGAUUGGCCGGGAGAAACUCCAUGAGUCUUGAGGAUUUUCGGAAAUGUUGGAAUCAGUGGUGUUUUGUUUUUGAUGAUAUUAUCCGAUAGAGGUGACAAGGAGAGAAGAUGCUAGCUCAAUGGUGCUGGCCAUGAAGGAUUUUGGCGCAUCCAAG
Triticum dicoccoides is the source of this 814-nucleotide long non-coding RNA. RefSeq lists it as uncharacterized. NCBI's taxonomy places the organism in Eukaryota, Viridiplantae, Streptophyta, Magnoliopsida, Poales, Poaceae. The record is from RefSeq and is a predicted model, not a curated record. The transcript has 4 exons.